Molecule: unclassified non-coding RNA, 3498 nt
Filed under: Hevea brasiliensis (rubber tree)
Lineage: Eukaryota; Viridiplantae; Streptophyta; Magnoliopsida; Malpighiales; Euphorbiaceae
Source: RNAcentral
CAAACUGCUUAUUUUAAAAUUGAUCUAAAUAAGCUCUCUAUGCUCGGGCUAAAACCAAUAGGUCUUCUUUAGGGCUCUACGAUGUUAGUCUUUUAUAUGUUAAUCUCAAUAAAAAUUUCAUUCAACUUCUCAAAAAAUUUUUUUUUUUAAAUUUCAUAAAAUCGAGAGUGUGUGAUGUGGGAUCUCUGGGCAAGGAAAUGACAGAGUCAACAAUCGACGGCAAUGGCUGCUAACAUAAACCCUAAAUUCCUUCUGCCGUGUCCCUCGCAACAAUUAUGGACCUUUCCACAUGGAAUUGGAAGCUACUGUUGCCUCUACUCCUCUUCGGCAUUCUCUUCCCUUACGAAGACUGGGUAUCAACUCCAUCCUGCACCAUCGUGCCGACAACGGCGUACCCUAAUCAAGAGUACGUCGUCGCUAAAGAGGACAACACGGAGGAGGAUUUGAAAGUCAUGAUGGUCGCUAAUUUGUUGCUCUAUGGGUCCGAAGCUGGCAUUUUUAAUCAAUAUUUUAGAGAUUAUUACCUGUCCAAGUUUUUCACAGUACUUGCUUCUUUUCUUUUCUAUGGUUAAUGUUUGAUUAAUUGAUCAAUUAAGGAAUCACAGUUAAUUUGUGACGCAUUGAACGUAUUGAACUAGUAAAUUGAUUGAUUUAUUGGUAUUUUUCUUGUUUUUCUAAUUUCAUGGAACUAACCAUCUGUAAAUUGCUGCUGCUUCUUGUCACAGAAGUCUUUUCAUACAUUGAAGCCUGAUAUGCUGCUAGUAUUGGGUGAUGUUUCGGCUAAAGGAUUUGAGUUGACAAAAACUAAAUGGGUAUCUGUGCUACAUCAUUUUCAUCGAAUCAUAGGACCCUUUCUUGAGCUCCCGUUCCAUGUUGUUCUUGGUGAUAGGGAUGUUGGGGAAUGUAGUAAGCUUGAUGUAAGAUCUGUUCAAUGGCUAGCUAGGAGUUUUCCAGGUUUAGACUCAGCUGGUUGCGGUGCAUUUGAAAUUAGUAAUGUUAGCUUUGUCUCACUUAAUGCUGUUGCAUUGCUUUGUGGCAAUAAUAAGUUACGGUUUAACGUUGAAGGGGCAAUAGAAUCGGAAAGCAUAGAUCUCCAAAUGGAAACUGAAAACAUAUCAAAAGUGAUGGAUGAUUCUGAAAAGUUCAGUGAACUGUCUGAUAACUUUAGGUGGAGAGAGAACGCAAAGUCAUCUGGAUCUGGCCCUGUCCUCUUACUUCAUUUUCCGUUGCACAAGACAGCAAAUGGCAGCUGUAGGGAGGGCAGCAUUUUUGAGAAAGUUCCUAGCUUUUUUCAACGUGGCUCAAAUGCACUGCGCAGCAGUUGGACAGGAGCUAACAGUGUGUUAUUAAACCCUCUAUGUGACAGUUGAAUGCCAAAAUCCAAGUUAUGAAACUUGGUGUGGAAUGCCCCUUUAUUAUAAACAUCCUUUUUUCAAACAAGCUAUUUAGGAUGUGAAGAUAGUCUUUCAUCAAAGGAUUGGAUGAAAUUAGGUUGUAUUUUGCAAUUUAAUUAAUAUAGUGUUGAUCUUUCUGAUAAUGGGAAUUUAUAGUGUCUUCAUGUACCUUUUAUUUUGUCUUCUAAAUUUGCUGAAUAUCAUUUAGAUUACUGGACGUUCUAUUUUGUAAAAUUUCCUCUUUCUUUCCUUCAGGGAAUUUACUGAUAGCGGACCCUAUAAUUUAUUGCAUACAAUCCCACCAAAUGCUUCUGAAUAUAUUUUUCAAGCACUCAAGCCAAGGAUUAUUUUCAGUGCACACACCGAUGAAUUUUGCGAUCACACUCACUCAGAUGGGACUCGUGAGGUGACUGUUCCUGCAAUGACAUGGAAAGUGAGGGAUAACCCUGGUUUUGUUAUUGCCACUUUUCAUAGUGACAGAAGACCUGUAAGUGUCAGCUACUGCUCCCUUGCUAGAGAGUCUCAUGUGUUAAUGGUGCAUAUGUCUUUUCUGAUUCUAUUGCUGACAAUAUGGCUAGUGGCAAAUACACCUCUGCUUAGAAGUUUAAGAUGAUGAAGGGGGACUAGCUGUCCUGUAUUAUUUGUUGUACAUUAUUCAAUUUAUGAAUUUUGUGUCAGUUACAAUGAUAAAGCAUUUUUCUUUUUUUUACCAUACAAUGAGUGAAAGAGCUUAUAACCAUAGGGACUAAUUUAAAAACCUAGUAGUUGUUGAGGAAGAUAGAAAAGGGACUUCAAUCCCUCGAAUGAAGGUUUUGUUUACCUCUUUUCAGCAGAGCUUAUUGGCCCACCUGCACCCAAUAUAUAUAAAUAUAUGCUAAUAAAAAUGUUUUAUCUAGUCGGUUAAAUAUGUUACUGAACAUUGACCUCCUCCAUGUUUUCUUUAAAGAGCAAAGUUUUAAUCUCAAACCAAAAUAUGAAGCUGAAGUAGAUCCAGCUGUGUUGUAACCGCGGUGAUACCUAUAGUUUUUACACAACUCAACAAUGCUUGGUGUAAAAAAUAUUGCAAGGUGGACCUUUAUAGUUACCGGGAGAGUCUGUGGCUCAUCACAAUAGUGGCCUAUAACAGUAAGAGACCUGGUUUUUGAUUUCUUAAGUGGGAGGAGUUUGACAGAGUUCUGUAGGAGGACAUUGCCCUCUCUAGCAGCUACUGGAUCCUGAUGCUCUUUUGAGCAGACUUGGUCUGGACCAAUUUUUCCAUAAGGUAGUUUCAAUAUAUUGCCAUUUGCCUAACCUCAUCCUGACAGAAAAGACGUUGCCAAGGGCUCUGUCUAUUUUUGAUUCGGUCAAUUUUUUUUUCUGUUUUAUUGCUGCUUUGGUGUGGCUCACCUGCAGUCCACAUCCAUUCCAGCUUUCAGGACGUGCGAUAGCAUCCUCCGGUUAUUUAGCAUAUCCUUGCUUAUCAUGCAAUAGGGCAACUGCAUCAGUCUGAACAAUAUACGUGCAACUAAUAUAGCAUGAUAUUAAUUGCAAAACCAUCAGAAUUCCCUUGAAAUUUGCCAUACCAUUACUCCUGGAAACCCCAGUUUCCUCCGGCUGUCUUAGACAAGAUAUUUUAAUCCGCACCAUUUGGGACUUCAUUAAGAUUAUAAGCACACAUUAUCCCACCGGCUUUCCCUUCUUCUAUGCGACUAUGAAAUGGAGGUUGGAAUGUAUCUGCCAAAUCCUGCAACGUAACCGAAGGCAGAAAAUAAAGUACCAUAUUUAAGGGUUGCGAAGAACGUUGCAUCAGAAAACUAAUCAAAUCAGAAGAGAAAAACAAUAUAAUUUUAGACAAAUUACAAAUGAAAAAAAGUAAGCUUAAAAAUUGGAGUUACAUCGUUUUAUUAAUGCUACAUGUAACAAUCCUGAACAGAAUGUCAACAGUAAAAAAAAGGAAAAACAGAACGUCAACAGUGAACCCUCUUGAAUCCCACAUGACAAAAACCCAACUUACGUGAAAAUCCUCCAACCCAGUAACUUAUAUCAUGCUAAUAACUAAUCAAAUGUCUUGGAAUGAAAAUUUUGGGAGUAUGAAAAAAAUAAUAAUAAUAAAACCCUCAAGCCU